This 542-nucleotide ribosomal RNA is filed under the name Penicillium commune. RNAcentral describes it as "eukaryotic LSU rRNA". The stretch from base 163 to 315 matches the Rfam family "5.8S ribosomal RNA". The record is from RNAcentral. Lineage: Eukaryota; Fungi; Ascomycota; Eurotiomycetes; Eurotiales; Aspergillaceae.
UCUGGGUCCAACCUCCCACCCGUGUUUAUUUUACCUUGUUGCUUCGGCGGGCCCGCCUUAACUGGCCGCCGGGGGGCUUACGCCCCCGGGCCCGCGCCCGCCGAAGACACCCUCGAACUCUGUCUGAAGAUUGAAGUCUGAGUGAAAAUAUAAAUUAUUUAAAACUUUCAACAACGGAUCUCUUGGUUCCGGCAUCGAUGAAGAACGCAGCGAAAUGCGAUACGUAAUGUGAAUUGCAAAUUCAGUGAAUCAUCGAGUCUUUGAACGCACAUUGCGCCCCCUGGUAUUCCGGGGGGCAUGCCUGUCCGAGCGUCAUUGCUGCCCUCAAGCCCGGCUUGUGUGUUGGGCCCCGUCCCCCGAUCUCCGGGGGACGGGCCCGAAAGGCAGCGGCGGCACCGCGUCCGGUCCUCGAGCGUAUGGGGCUUUGUCACCCGCUCUGUAGGCCCGGCCGGCGCUUGCCGAUCAACCCAAAUUUUUAUCCAGGUUGACCUCGGAUCAGGUAGGGAUACCCGCUGAACUUAAGCAUAUCAAUAGACGGAGGA